AACUAGCCCCGAUGGGAGGGAAUAUUCUUUUGGGAACUUUGUCAAAGUUUAAAACUUUGACAAAGUUCCCAAAAGGAUUGGAAGGACAGCGGGAAUCCAU
This 100-nucleotide small RNA is filed under the name Flavobacterium sp. 103. RNAcentral describes it as "Flavo-1 RNA". The record is from RNAcentral. Lineage: Bacteria; Pseudomonadati; Bacteroidota; Flavobacteriia; Flavobacteriales; Flavobacteriaceae.